GAGUACUAGGUGGCGGGGGUAACCCCCUUCGGUGCCGCAGCUAACGCAUGAAGUACUCCGCCUGGGAAGUACGCGAGCAAGAGGGAAAGUCAAAGGAAUGGACGGGGGACGGGACGAGUAGCGGAGCAGGUGGUUGAAGUAGAAGCAAAGCGAAGAACCUUACCUAAGCAGGACAUCCCAAUGACAUCUCCUUAAUCGGAGAGUUCCCUUCGGGGACAUUGGUGACAGGUGGUGCAUGGUUGUCGUCAGCUCGUGUCGUGAGAUGUUGGGUUAAGUCCCGCAACGAGCGCAACCCUUGUCUUUAGUUGCCAUCAUUAAGUUGGGCACUCUAGAGA
Molecule: ribosomal RNA, 335 nt
Filed under: Clostridioides difficile
Lineage: Bacteria; Bacillati; Bacillota; Clostridia; Peptostreptococcales; Peptostreptococcaceae
Description: bacterial SSU rRNA
Rfam family: Bacterial small subunit ribosomal RNA
Source: RNAcentral